Small nucleolar RNA from Aotus nancymaae (Ma's night monkey), 134 nucleotides. Lineage: Eukaryota; Metazoa; Chordata; Mammalia; Primates; Aotidae. The record is from Ensembl.
UGUCCCUGACCUGGGUAGAGUGACAUCUGGUUGGUGGUGCCCAUCUCAUAUCAGCCAGGGACAAAGCAACCCUUGUUCAUCCCAGCUUGGCUUUUGAUCUGUGCCCAUGCCUGGUUCAUGCCUUGGACACAUAG